Molecule: ribosomal RNA, 253 nt
Filed under: uncultured bacterium
Lineage: Bacteria
Description: partial 16S ribosomal RNA
Rfam family: Bacterial small subunit ribosomal RNA
Source: RNAcentral
UACGGAGGAUGGAAGCGUUAUCCGGAAUUAUUGGGCGUAAAGCGUCCGUAGGUGGUUGAGUAAGUCUGCUGUUAAAGCGUGGAGCUUAACUCCAUAUCGGCAGUGGAAACUACUUAACUUGAGUGCGGUAGGGGUCAGGGGAAUUCCCAGUGUAGCGGUGAAAUGCGUAGAUAUUGGGAAGAACACCGGUGGCGAAAGCGCCUGACUGGGCCUGCACUGACACUGAGGGACGAAAGCUAGGGGAGCGAAAGGG